ACGGGAGGCAGCAGUGGGGAAUAUUGCACAAUGGGGGAAACCCUGAUGCAGCGAUGCCGCGUGGAGGAAGAAGGUUUUCGGAUUGUAAACUCCUGUCUUAAAGGACGAUAAUGACGGUACUUUAGGAGGAAGCUCCGGCUAACUACGUGCCAGCAGCCGCGGUAGUACGUAGGGAGCGAGCGUUGUCCGGAAUUACUGGGUGUAAAGGGGGCGUAGGCGGGACGGCAAGUCAGAUGUGAAAUACAUGGGCUCAACCCAUGGGCUGCAUUUGAAACUGCUGUCCUUGAGUGAAGUAGAGGUAAGCGGAAUUCCUGGUGUAGCGGUGAAAUGCGUAGAUAUCAGGAGGAACACCGGUGGCGAAGGCGGCUUACUGGGCUUUUACUGACGCUGAGGCUCGAAAGCGUGGGGAGCAAACAGGAUUAGAUACCCUGGUA
RNAcentral lists this ribosomal RNA (434 nucleotides) under uncultured Ruminococcus sp. Its description in RNAcentral is "partial 16S ribosomal RNA". It matches the Rfam family "Bacterial small subunit ribosomal RNA", at positions 341 to 792 of the family's 1533-position model. Lineage: Bacteria; Bacillati; Bacillota; Clostridia; Eubacteriales; Oscillospiraceae. The record is from RNAcentral.